AUUGGUGGUCCGAUGGCUGGUGUUUUGGCUGAAUUGGUUGUUGGACGACAGGAGUCGGAGGCUGUCCAUCUUUUUGGCCCGUUUGUGAAAUUGUGCCUGAGGUGCGUGGACGAUGUCUUGGUGGUUUGGGGGGGCGAGUGUGGGGCGGAGGAGAUGGCUUCUUCUUUGGCGGAUGAUGGCUUGGGGCUUGCUGCUGGGGUGGAGCGGGAGAGUGGGGCGGAGGUGCACUUUCUUGGUCUGAGAGUUUCGAUUGUGGAUGGUGACUGUGGGACUGCAGUUUGUGGAGGGCCAGGUGGGGUUCC
This 302-nucleotide long non-coding RNA is filed under the name Androctonus crassicauda. Lineage: Eukaryota; Metazoa; Arthropoda; Arachnida; Scorpiones; Buthidae. The record is from RNAcentral.